CGGUCCCUGCAGUUUUCUCCUCUUUCACGUGUUUUUCCAGUUGUAUGUUGGACAUUUACGGAUCGAUUGCCAAUUCCUCCAGAGCUCCUAUAUAGCAUUGCUGUUAGUUGGAACGCUCUUCGGCGCAGAUAAGCAUAUUUGCUGAGAAGACAGGUUGGUUGCGAGAGCCUCGUUUUGGAGUGGCCCUGCCGUGCCCUCCCUCAGGCUUGGGGAGCCAGCACCCCUCAGCUAUUUGCUCUGGCUUCUGGGCUGUCCGGGAGUCUUCUUGGCUGUAGAUGCUGCUGCACCGUGGAAUGUUUUUGUGUGCACUCAGCUUUCUGUGUCACGGUAUCUUAAAAUGACAAGUUUUUUUGUUUGUUUGUUUGUUUGUUUGUUUGUCUUCUCACCGAGAAUAGAGAAACUGUGUAUAUCUUUGCAUGUUACACAGACCUGGUCUGAAAAUGGAGGCCGCUUAAAAAGUCCCUAUAGAUGGUUCUGCAUCUGGCAGAAGAUGGGGACAAGAUCGCGUGUGUAGUGGACCAUGCUCAGAGGGUGAUCAGGCUCUGGUGUCUCUAAUAUAUUUUUAGGAGGUUCCGUAUUAUAUUUUCUUUGGUGGUGGGGGAGGGUGGUACCUUCUGAAUGGCAUUCCAUCUGUCUGCCUUAGUGAUAGAUGUACCCACCAUUAAGCAACUUCCCUGUCUCCCAGACCUCCAAGAACAAACCCACAGGUCUUCCAUUGUCCCUUUCGAAGGAGUGUUCCGUAUGCUUGUGUGCAUGGGACCGCAUUAUUCCUCCACUGUGCUUUGUCCCUGCCGCUCAGCCAGCUUGUGGGCACAGAGGUCCUGAAGGCAGCCUUCACUACCUGCUCUUGGUCUGUUGAUAGUUGUUAAUUUUGUGAUAGGGAGUAGCAACUUGUUUUCGACAAUUUAGUAGGCUCUUUAUACCCUCUUCUUUAAUAGGUAGGCAUCUGCCGUUUCUGCCUUCGCAAUAUUGUUUUCUUUAGAUACCAGAAGAUGUCUCUGGGAGUUGCUUUUUGACAGUGCUUUAUGCCUAACCAUCUUUGGAGAAGAUUGCAUGUUAAAACUUUUUGAUUUUUCCACCAGCUCAUUGUCAUCAGAGCACCAGCUGUCAUCGGAACCCUGAAGCUCUCUCUCCGCCCUUUAGGUUUGGGCCAAGUGCCCUGAGAGCCAGAGGAUGUAGGGUUGUGGAUGCUGCCCAAGCAGGACAGGGGUCUCCUGCCAGAAGCCUUGUUGCCCUUGGUACGUGACGUUAGCACACACAAGUGACUUCGUCACAGAUAGCUAGAUUUCUCCCCUUUGUUGGACAUCUGCCGGAAUUGAAACGUAAUGACUAAAGAUAGGAUUUAGCUAGGUGUUUCGUAGUAAAGAUAAUAGAGUCUUGCUCCAAUUAAGGAUAGUAAGCAGGUCUAAGUAUCAACUAUAAAUGAGAUUAGGAUUCUGUUCUCAUUUCUCAAUGUGAAAAUUUAUUCCCAGAUCAGCAUUAUUUUCUGUUUGGGGUUCUUAAGUACUGAGAAAAAAUAAGAUGUACUAGGUCACUUAAAAAGAAAAAGAAAAAAAGGUCUCCCAGUCUCCAGACUAAAGGAGAGGAGUUCCUGAGGCUUCACAAAUCUAUUAGAACUAACGAAGGUAUGGGGAGAAAGACUCUGAUGAUUUUUGUUUAGAAAAUCACCUCAGUAAUGUCAAGCCCUCCUUUAAACCACAUUAAUCUUUUCACAUUUUCUUGAAAGCUUUGUCUGUUUCCAAUUGAUUGGAACCUCCAUAUGUUAGAGAAAAAUGGGAACUGCAGAAAAAGUUGAAAGCAUGAGGUAUAUUAAAAGUGACUUUAACCCUCUGCUAAAGUAAUUUUACAUUAUUUAGAGUUUGGAUUUGAAGUGAUUCAAAGGCCAUGAAUUUAAUAUUGAUGUGAUUUGAGGAAGUAAAGGGAAAUGUGAUCAUCCCUUCAGUAAAAUUUGUGCUGUUAUCAGUCUGAAGAAUGUGUUCCUUAGAUCAAUUUUGUAUGCAUCUCAGACCACUUAGUGUUCUGUAUUAGCUAUGAGACCUUCAAACAGCCUGACCAGAUUCCCAUUUCAGAUUGAUUAAUUAAUUUCCCAAUUUCAGGUGACUGGUUUUGUUCACUAAAGUUGUUGAAACUUGACACAGAUGGACAGUGAACAGAAUCACUUCAUUGUGAAGAAGGUAGUAACCUGUUUCCCCAGUGAAGUGGGUUUAAAUGUAAAUAGAAAGCAAAUAAUAGUAUAACAACUGUCUGUGGAUAGUAUUUACUCUAACGGGACGUUAAUAGAUACCAAGAGAAUUUAUUAUAAAGACUGAGCAGCUGACUGCUGGCCACCUUGCUUUGUUUUGAUGGAGAUUAUGUGAUGUGGUUUCAGCGGAGGCUGAGACUGCCAGUCAAGGUUGAGAGGAUGAGUUUUAGUGACUUCUUUGCUAUGAGAAAGAACUCAGCAAGGUGUCAUUUCUGGUUUGCAUAGAACUCGUGGAAACAUUUUGGUUUCAGAUUUCCCAGCUUUAUUUUCCUUCUUUCCGGGAAGGCUUUCUGUCUCCGUGACAAGAAGCCUUCCGUGACUUUUCUUUCUUGCCUGUCUAGAGAUUGCAGGCUCGGGUGGCUAAAUCCGCUUAUUUCCUUCCAGUAUGAGAAAGGAUUAUGGACAUGUCUCACGCAGAGACCCAGGAGAGCGUUGCUGCCUCUCAGAGUGUACGUGGAUUGCUAGGACGGUGGUAGCUGUUCUAUACGUCACAGAAUUGCGUAGGGAAGGGGCCAUUUUAGGCUAGCAUAAUUACGUAUUUUUUGCCAGACAGUCAUUUUUAGUCCAGACUCGUUGAACAGACUCUUGGCUUUUUUAUUGUCAAAACAAAUCAAUAAGAGGUACUCCAUAGCCCCCCUCUCCUCUUUUUCUUUUUUAAAACUACAGACCUGUGCCUCGGACAGUGCUGGUCCUAGACUAUCGUAUUUGUAGACUGAAAGCCCCUGUCUCCUCAAAAACCUCGUGUUCUUACUGCCUUUUGCUACACGGUCCAGCAUGGUAGCCAGCAACCCCACAUAGCUACUGAGCAUUUGAAUGUGGCUAGUCUGACUUGAGAACACACUGAGUGGAAAAUACACACCAGAUUUCAAAGACUUAGUAUAAAACGAUUGGAAAAUAAAUUUCAUUAAUAAUAUUCUAUUGAUUACAUAUUGAAACAGUGCUACUUUAAGUAUAUUGGGUUAAAUAACAAAUUACUAAAACUUAAUUUCACCUAAUUUUACUUUUUUUAAAACGUAGCUAGUAGAAAAUAUAAAACUACAUAGGUGGUUCACAUUAUUUCUGUUGGACAGGGCUGGGAUAGCAUUGUUUCUUGAACUUGUCAUUUGACAUCACAUUUAAGGUUUCUGCCAUAUCCAGGUGCCACCUGUGCUACUACUACUGUUAUUAUUAUUUAAAUAUUUAUUUAUUUUUUUUAGAGACAGAGACAGAGUGUGAGUGGGGGAGGGGCAGAGAGAGAGAGAGAGAGAGAGAAAGAGAGAGAAAGAGAGAGGGAGGGAGACACAGGAUCUGAAGCAGGCGACACAGGCUCUGAGCUGUCAGCACAGAGCCCGAUGAGGGGCUUGAACUCACAGACCACAAGAUCAUGACCUGAGCUGACGUUGGAUGCUUAACUGACUGAGCCACCCAGGUGCCCCUGUGCUAUUAUUUUUCUUGAAAAAUAUUUUAAAAAUGAAUUCACUGUUUUACAAAUUGAGACAUUACCAUUUACAUGUAAUAAAAUGCACAGAUCUUAAUUAAGUGUACAGUUAGAGAGGUUUUGGCAUUUGGGUUUUUGUUGUUAAGGUUUAUUUAUUUAUUUUGAGAGAGAGCGUGAGCAGGAGAGGGUCAGAGAGAGAGAGGUAGAGAAAGAAGCCCAAACAGGCUCCACGCUGUCAGCAUCGAGCCCGAUGUGGGGCUCAAUCUCAUGAACCGUGAGAUCAUGACCUGAGUCAAGAUCGAGAGUGUGGGAUGCUUAACCGACUGCAUUACCCAGGCACCCCAGAUUUUGGCAUUUGUGAUUCAUUUCGUUUCUUGUCAGUUCCCUUUCUCUUCUUCCCUACAGCCACUUCAGUUCACCUUUUUAAUAUAAAUUUAGUUUUUAAAUAUAGUUUGUAUCUGUGAAAUCCUGGGUUUGAUGUGUUGGUUACUUUUCCCCCCCAAAACACAUGAAAGUGAGUGCACACUAUUAAUAGAAAUUAAAAAUGUAUUCAUGGCAUCACCCAUCGUGUGUCAGCCCAGGGGUAUGAAUAUUAAACUUUGGGAAAUGUAGGGCUACAUUUCCACUCCACCACAGCCCGUCUUGCCAGCUUGCUGUUCUUUGAAUUUUUUUUUUUUAAUGUUUAUUUAUUUUUGAGAGAGCGAGCGUGAGCAUGAGUGGGGGAGGGGCAGAGAGAGAGGGAGACACAGAAUCUGAAACAGGCUCCAGGCUCUGAGCUGUCAGCGCCGAGCCUGACGCGGGCCUCGAACCCACGAACUGGGAGAUCAUGACCUGAGCCGAAGUCAGACGUUUUAACUGAGUGAGCCACCCAGGCACCCCGGCUUGCUGUUCUUUGAGUACAGGGUGUACAUGCUUGUCAUUGAAUCCUCACUGCUGGUGUCAGCCAGCAAUGCAUGCCCUCAGUUGCUUCUUCCUUUAUUUGUGUCCUUGUCCUCCGUUGUACACACCUGUCCCAUUGUUUUAUGGCUGUUUUCAGGGACAUCUCCCUCACUUGCCCUCGAUAGGGGGAGAUCCUUGAGGGCAGAGGCCAUGAAAUCAUCUCUGUUCUUCGGCUCCUUAUGUUCAGUAGGUGUUUGAUGAGUUGAGACAGAAUAACCCUGCACUAAAGUAAAAUCUGAGUCAUCAGAAACCACUUGGGAAAUUGAGGGGACUUUCUCUUCUUCCGACCUGGAAAGUGCUGAACGUUUGUUUGAGAUAACGGAGGAAGAUAACUACUACCGUUCUCAAAUAACAUACAGCGUUGGGCAGAGUCAACAGAGCAAACACCCCAUUAAGUACACAGGCGACACAAAGAUGGAGCAAAGGGCAGAUGCUCAUUGGGAAAUUAUAGGCCAAAAAGCAGAGCAAUGAAACCCAGCUGGGAUUCAUGAAUGGCUAAGACAGGCCUCUGCUGUUUCCAGUUAUCUGAGCCGAUGAUUUGCCUCAGGUGGAAGCCCUGGUUCGUGGUUGCACAGAAGCUGUCAGCUAACCAUGUGAGUUUAAGGGACAGGUAGAGUCUUUAAAAAUCUUCAGGGUACCUGGGUGGCUCAGUCAGAUGAGCGUCUGACUUCAGCUCAGGUCAUGAUCUCACAGUUCCCGAGUUUGAGCCCCACGUCGGGCUCGCUGCUGUCAGCACAGAGCCCACUUUGAAUUCUCUGUCCCCUUCUCUCUGCCCCUGCCCCACUUGUGUGCUCACUGUCUCUCUCAAAAAUAAAUAAACAUUUAAAAAAUUAAAACAAAAUCCCCAACCCGGUUGUGACCCUGACACUGCUUUUAGUGGUCUUGCAAUUUUCGUCUUCUCGUCCUUCUCCUUGCUGUUCGUCUGGAAGUCCUCUGAGGGCAGGAACUGUGCUUCAUUUCUCUUUCAAGACACCUAGCAUGGUAACUGGUGCAUGGUGGGCAUUAAACCAGUAUUUGCUGAGUGAGUGGUUGAAAAGGUGUCAAAAACUGCUUUACUUUAUCGUUCCCAGAUUAACCCUCCUUUGAUGCGGUUUGAUAACUUCACCUUUGGUGUUCAUAGUACUCAGCUGUGAUAGAAAUGAAAGCAGAAAAAAACUGAAUUACUUGUGAUAAAUUCCCGCUUUAUUUUUAUCAGCAAAGGUGCUUAUUUGCUCUGUAUUAGCAGAGUAGUGGAUCUUGAAAUGUGUGAGUUGACCUAAUGACAAGGGGUCAGUUACGUUAGAGGUUUUUUUGGUGAUGAUGAAUUGCACGGAGCCGUUCCCCCAGAUUUUUUUUUUUUUUUUCUAUUGUUAAAGCUGGGAUAAGAAUUAAGCCAAAGAUCCUGGUUAUUACCCAAGGCUGGCUAGACAGGAAAAAUUGUGAUAACCACACUGUGGCCUUUUGAGUCCAUUUUCCAGUUAAGUAUAAGGGAUUUGACUGAAAUACCUGGAAAUAAUGGUGUUAGCUUUGUGAGGGUGUGUAUCUUGAAAAUUGUUAACAAUUGCUGAAAUAAAAACAUUUUAUUUUAGGGCGGGGGAGGAAUGAAAGGAAUCCAUCAGAUAACUUGGGUUAGUUUUCUUUCCAUCCCACUUCUUUGUAAGAAGGAAUGUUUUCAUUUUGCCCAGUGAGAAAUUUAAACUCUUGAAGAUUAUAAUUCAUUAAAACGGGUAGAAGAUUAAUAUUUAGUCUGUCAAGAUCAAUACUGUCCCCUCUUUGCACUAAUUGUCAGAAGAGCGUGCGAGGGCCGCUGAAGGGUAGCGGUGUGCGGCAGGACCCUCACAUCACAGGGAGAUGAUUCAAAGGCAAACUGUCCUGCACCCUCUGGUAUCGACUUGCAAAUUAGCAUCUGGAAUCUAAUUAAACAAGCUUAAUGAAAGUAGCAGCUGAAUGCUGCUGGAAAAGACAAUCAGCUUUUUUCCCCCUCUCUGAUACAUACUCUGUACUAUUGAAGUUGGUCACCAAACACAUCGUGUGAGCACAGUUAAAAAAAAUUAGCAUUUAUUUGAAGAAUAGAAACUGUUUUUCAUUCUGUUAUGCAUUUGGCAUGCUCUGGCGUCCCAUGAGAGCCAUGCCACAGCAGAUAGUGCACAAUAUUUAUAAAUCCAUGACAGGCAAUAAUAGCAACUUGAAAAAUUCUUUUGCUAGAAUCUCAAGUUGAGAGCUGCCAAAAGCGGAGAGGAUCAGAUCUGCAGUGGCAGCUGCUGUGCCCUACAGUUAGAAUUCUAGACUUUGAAGAUGCUCAGCUUAAAGAAAUGAAGACUGCAGGCUUAGCCAAUUUUUGCAGGUUUCUAGAGCUCUGGCGCUCUGCCUUUUGAAGAUGAGUUGCUGAAGCUCCUACCACUGCCUGAGGCGUGCUAACACCAGCAGGAUCUUUUUUUUCCCCCAGUCUUAGUGUGUCUUCAGUUUUAAGUAGCACAUGCUUAGUCAGUGCCAACUCUGAUGGUCCUUUCUCUGGUCACAAUACCGAGGGAUGAGCUCUUACCCUGUACCCUUCAGAGGGAAGCCGCGAAGAUAGAUGGUGACGUAUACAAGUGCCACUUCAGCCGUCUGAUUUAUGGAGUCAUAUUUCAUCGCUCGGCAAGUGCUGGCCUCUAGAGAAGCCCUUAUAGAUUGCUAAAGAUGUGAGCAGCUAUCGCCCUAAAGGCUUGUGGUUACCUCACAGACGUGAUGCCAAACACCUAGCUACCGAAGAAACAGAAUUAAUCUGUCAUUGCAGGCAGCUAUAGAUCCACUUUAAAUAAUGAAAGAGUUCAUACCAAUAUGGUGUCCUGACAGCAAAUCUUGGAAGUAACUAUAGUUGGGUUUUUUUUCUUUUUUAAGUCUGGUAGUAGAAAGAUACUGAAGUUACAGAUUCGUUUGUCCUUUGCAGAUGGACAGUAGUGGAAGUGAGCUGCAUUAUUUUGAUUAAAAAGAGGAAUUUCUUCAGUUUGGCACAUAGACGGGUCCCCAAGGAACACAUGGAGGAUGGGUUCGGUGUGGUCAGGUGGAAAGGGGCAGCGUUGCUUGGGAGCUAGAGGAUUGGGCUGUGAGCCUGUCUCCACUGUCCUCAGGGCAUGACUCUUGAGUAAGCCACGGCCCGAGACUGUUCAUCUAGAAGAUGGGGAUCCAGAGACCUGCCUCGAGGUCGCUGUCAGGAUUAGAUGUGGUCUGUAAAACACCUUAUAUGGUGGCUCACACAAAAUUGGCUCUAAAAGAUGGCAGCUGCUUCUGUCUUACAGUUACUCAGCGGUAGGAUACAAACCUCACAUAGCAACGACUAGAUACGAUUAUUUGUACUUGCAUCAGGCUUGGAGAUUAUAGCAGAAUAUAGAGGCGAUUUCUCUCUGCCAUCUAGAAGCUUAAAAUCCGAGACAGACUUGUGGGGAGGUCAUAAUGACAGUAGAAGAAGCCUGCUCAACACAUACCACGGGCUGUGGAAGGAUUUGCCUUUCUGCGGUGAGGGGGGAGGAGGUGAUGAAGAUCCAGUAAUCACGGUAGCUGAUGCUCGUUGAGUGUUGGCACACUGUGCCAGACUUUUCUAACCGCUUCCUCGGCAUUCUCUCCUUUACUUUUCAGUAACUGUGCGGGGUCUGUACUUUGUUAGCGCUGUUUUGUGGAGCGGAACAUGAGGAUGUGGGGAGGUCAGAUACCUUGCCCCGGGUCACACAGCUAGUCAGCGGUGGAGUCACCAUUUGAAUCCCGGUCGGUCUGUCGGUCUGGCUUUAGAGCCCUCCGGCGCGAUCCGUCACUGUGCCAUUCUGCCUCUUUGCUAGGCUUGAGAUUCUCUGACAACAGAGUGGGGAAGACAUCUUAUUCCAGGUGAGCAGAGGUCUGGGCUGCUCGGGCUGUUCCUUUUCUCUGAUGAGGUCUUGUGAAGACGGCAGGAAGCCAAACAAAUGUCAGUGGAGGUGCGUAAACCUCUUCCGUGAGCUCAGCGAUUGGAAGGAGCCCAGGAACAGAAAGACGCAAGGAAGUUUAGAAAUCCAGAGCUAUUGGGAUCUAUAAAAAAAAGUCACUUGGCUGUGAAAAAUAUAUGUUUUUCCUCUUUGAAUUCAUUGGACUUUUUCAUCUUUUAACCCUUCUUCACCCCAAAUACCCCGUGACUGGCUUUCUUCCCCCGCGGGUUUUCAGAUAUUUACAAGGGAGCUGUUUUCUCUAUAUAGGUAGCAUUUAGCUGGCAUAAGCCUCUUCAGAUUUAGUAAUGAGACCAAGAAGUCCUUAAAUAUUAGUGAAUGGCAUUUGUCCAUUUGAGGCAAAUCAUGAAUAACUUGAACAAAAAUAAAAAAGAAAUAAGCAAGACUAUCAUAUUUGAAUAAUGAGGUGCUCUUUUUUUUUCCCAACUGCCAAAACUUUUUAAUCUUCGUCAACAAUUGUUCUGUCCUCCGUCUUAUUUCGGUUGCAUCUGUGCGACUCUGAGCUCAGGAGCCCUGACAAGCGGCAUAUGAAUUCUGUAUUCAUUAGUGAUCUUGAUCCAAAUGCCUCUGUCCCUGCCACGGGGGCUCAGGUGUGGAAGCUGCUGGCUAAUCCCGCCAGCUGACAUUCAGAGGUUUAAUGACUCCAUGGGUAGGUGACCACUCGCUGGGAGGGUUGCUGGCGGAACCCACACAGCAGACAAUGGAGAUCAAGGAAGACGAUCAGUGUUUAGCCGAAGCACCUUCCUGUGCGACUUGAACCCUGUUGGCAUCAAACAGAGUUUUAAGUAAAUGCAAAAUUAAAAAAAAAAAAAAAUCUGACCUUCGCUAGCUCUCAUAAACAAUGGUUUUUCUGUCCUGUAUUGAUAUCGAUGGGGUUUAAGACUGUUUUUCUUGUUACACUUUAAUGGGUGUCAGCUUAAUGAGCUGAACUUGAUGCACUUUUCCAGAUUUUACGUUUGUCUGGUUGCUACAUCUGUUUAGGGGUCUUAUGUAUGUCUGGGAAAAAUAUAUAUAGUUAGAGCCUAAAUUCUUUCUUAUUAAAUGCUUUUAAGGAUCUGUGCUGACGUUUUUGUUUACUGUGAUCUCUAGCUUUGAAAAAAAUACUAUUAGAAUGUGAGUUCUUUGACUUGUGAUGUGUCACAGGAUGUUUUGACUCUUCUUUAUUAGGUCCUGCAGUCUAAAAAUGUUGGAUGCCGGGGUGCCUGGGUGGCUCAGUCGGUUGAACGUCCAAUUCUUGAUUUCAGCUCAGGUCAUGACCCCAGGGUGGUGGGAUCGGGCCCUGCAUCGGGCUCUGUGCUGAGAUUGGAGCCUGCAUGAGAUUCUCUCUCUUUGUCCCUCUCCCCCACUCAUGCUCUCACUCUCUCUGAAAUAAGUAAAUGAGAUAAAAAUGUUGCAGGCCUAUUUUUAAAUAGGAGCUUCUUCAAGAUAUAAUUUACAUCUGUACAGCUCAGCUACUGUAAGUGUACAGUUCCGUGAUUUUUAGGCUGUUCACAGAGUUGCACAGCUAUCACCACAGUCGCUUUGGGAACAUCUCCAUCACCCGCAGAAGAAAUCCCAUCAUCAUUAGUAGUCACUCCUCAUUUACCCUCAACCUCCCCAGCCCUGGGCAAUAACUAAUCUACCUUUUGUCUCUAUAGGCUUGCAUUUUCUGGACAUUUUGUAUAAUAGGAAUUAUACAACAUGUGGUCUUUUGUGACUGGCUCCUGUAACUUCCAAUGUUUUCAUAUUUCAUCCAUGUUGUAGCAUGUAUUGGUACUUCAUUCCUUUUUAUGGUUUAAUACUAUUCCAUUGUGUGGACAUAACCACAUUUUAUUUACCCAUUCAUUCGUUGAUGGACAUGUGGAUUGAUUUUACUUUUAGGCUAUUAUGAAUAAUGAUGCUAUGAAUGUUUGUGUACAAGUUUUUGUGUGGGGCAUAUACUGUCAUUUCUCUUGGGUAUACAUACCGUGGAGUGGGCUUGCUGGGUUGUAUGGUAACUCUACGUUUAACCUUUUGAGGAACCAUCAGACUGGUUUCCAAAGUGGGCUGGGUCACUGGAUGUGCAUUAGUUGUGUCUUUAUUGUUGAAUAAAAAAUGUAUUAAUGUUCCUUAAUAAUUUUGUCUCUGGUUGGCCCUGUGUAGAAUUCUUAAGUAGCGACUUCCAGUGGAGUUAAACAGUUAAUUUUAGAAAUAAACAGAUAGUGAAGUUGGCGUUAUGAUUCCAUGGGUGAUUAGGAGAAUCACUAUUAAACCUUUAGAUGAUAAGGAGACCCUACUGAUGGUCAUUAAAGCUUCUUACCAGAUCGGAUAUGUUGAGUUGUCCCCCGUUUACAAAAAGUGAGUAUGUUCUCUUAAGUUGGAGCACACUAGUGAAUCUAAUUUGCAGAGGCAGAAAGGGACUUCUUGAGUUAAGGUUACUCCCUUGGAUCUUUUCCUUUUGUGAUGUUUUAUAAGGCAGAUGGAAGUUUGGUCUCACUCCUGAUGAUUCAAGAGCAGGACUUUGCUCCCUAUGGUACAGAGUUUGGGAUUUCACAAGUAAAUGCUUCUCUCCCCCUGAUUCUGUGGGAUUCUUUAGUCUCCCUUGACUUAGGAAUGGCCACUUCAGUGUCCAUUCAUCUGGCUGAGUCUGUUUGUCCUCCUCGCCUCUCUGUCUUCAGACCCUCAGUUAAUGGUGGUGGCUGGCCAUCAUGUCCACCGUGACCGUUUUUCUUCUGUCUGUGAUACAAGUUGAAGUUCAGAGUGGAAUAUUUCAGGGAAGGGGCAAAGGAAAUUUUAGAAAGGGUGUCUUAAUUUUUUCCACUUAGUUUCAGGAAAUAAAAGGGGAUUGGAUGGUAGGAGGCCCAGAAAGAAAGGUGUAGCUUACCAAAAUCUCCGGUGUGCUGGGAAUGGGCUCCUCUGGGGGCCAGGCCUCUGGGCUUCAGUAGUCCGCAGAUCUUCGGGAAGCGAUCCUGUGUAAAAUGCGAAGUCAUCUAUCUCCAGAUCUUUGAGGCCGUGUGGAGAGUACUGCAGGUGCCACACUGCCACAGUCACUGGCUUGGAGAAUUCUUUGUUGGUUUUCUGCCAAAAACAUUUCUGUGCAAAAAUUUUUCCCACUGUGCUUAUGUACACUGAAUUUCGUUUUCUUGUAAAGUCAAUAUGUAAUCAAUCAGCAGGUACUUAUUGGGCACCAGCUGAAUGCGAGACAUUACACGAUGUAAUGUCUCAUCGUGGUGCUGCGAUCCAGAGGUAGGAUUGCAGGAGGCUGUUCUGUAUGAUGGUGGAACGUUCUUAUACAGCUAUGGGCAAAGUAGAUUGAAAAGGAGGGAUUAUUUUACUCUGUGGUAUAUAGGUAAUUAUUUAUGAUGCAUUUCUUUGGAGCAGGUGUUCCCAUUUGAAAUGUUUCCACUUUACAUAUUUCCUGUAACUGAGAAAGGCAGGGGGAAAUAUUCCAUACAGGAGAAAUAUUUCAGAGUAUAUUGCUUGCUGCACCUGUGGCAAAGAUCCAGCAGGCAAAAUGUAACUUCUUUGUGACCAGCAACUCUUCAAUCAGAGAGGCAAGAGCUAGUUUCUAAUGUUGAAUAGAAAUAAAUGUUUGGUGACUUUCAACUGCAUGGGUAGAAUUAAUAGGAAGUUAUUAUUGUUAACACAGUAUUCUGGAUCAUGUUAUCAAAGAGAAAAAAUGAACUUCUUUAUCUGUCUCUUACCAAAUUAAAUGGUCUUUGCUAA
Long non-coding RNA from Neofelis nebulosa (Clouded leopard), 12214 nucleotides. RefSeq lists it as uncharacterized. The transcript is spliced from 2 exons. NCBI's taxonomy places the organism in Eukaryota, Metazoa, Chordata, Mammalia, Carnivora, Felidae. The record is from RefSeq and is a predicted model, not a curated record.